AGCUAACAGAGCGGUAUAAGAACACAGGACCAACUAACAGAGAGCUAUAAGAACACAGGACCAGCUGACAGAGCGGUAUAAGAACACAGGACCAGCUAACAGAGAACUAUAAGAACACAGGACCAACUAACAGAGAGCUAUAAGAACACAGGACCAGUAACAGAGAGCUAUAAGAACACAGGACCAGCUAACAGAGCGGUAUAAGAACACAGGGCCAACUAACAGAGAACUAUAAGAACACAGGAGCAACUAACAGAGAGCUAUAAGAACACAGGACCAGCUAACAGAGAGCUAUAAGAACACGGGACCAGCUAACAGAGCGGUAUAAGAACACAGGACCAGCUAACAGAGAACUAUAAGAACACAGGACCAGCUAAGAGAGAGCUAUAAGAACACAGGACCAGCUAACAGAGAACUAUAAGAACACAGGACCAGCUAACAGAGAACUAUAAGAACACAGGACCAACUAACAGAGAGCUAUAAGAACACAGGACCAACUAACAGAGAACUAGAAGAACACAGGACCAGCAAACAGAGCGCUAUAAGAACACAGGACCAACUAACAGAGAGCUAUAAGAACACAGGACCAGCUAACAGAGAGCUAUAAGAACACAGGACCAGCUAACAGAGCGCUAUAAGAACACAGGACCAGCUAACAGAGAACUAUAAGAACACAGGACCAGCUAACAGAGAGCUAUAAGAACACAGGACCAGCUAACAGAGAACUAUAAGAACACAGGACCAACUAACAGAGAACUAUAAGAACACAGGACCAGCUAACAGAGAACUAUAAGAACAC
Molecule: long non-coding RNA, 799 nt
Filed under: Salmo salar (Atlantic salmon)
Lineage: Eukaryota; Metazoa; Chordata; Actinopteri; Salmoniformes; Salmonidae
Description: lncRNA (ENSSSAG00000098864.1)
Source: RNAcentral